Molecule: RNA transcript, 2151 nt
Organism: Quercus lobata
Lineage: Eukaryota; Viridiplantae; Streptophyta; Magnoliopsida; Fagales; Fagaceae
Gene name: probable inactive purple acid phosphatase 1
Exons: 9
Source: RefSeq, a predicted model, not a curated record
AUGAACAUCCCUUCAACCUCCGUUAUACUCCUGAAGAUGACUCCGGUGAAUAUUACUGUGAUAUCUGUGAAGAAGAACGAGAUCCCAAGCAAUGGUUCUACUACUGUGCAGAGUGCAGCUUUCCUGCUCAUCGUGAUUAGAUCCGAUGGUGCCAACUCGGUCAGCCUAGAGGAUGCUUUAGGGAUUGCACAGCACCAUGAUGCCAUCACUGGCAAUGCUAAACAACAUACAACCAAUGACCAUGCAAAACACAUGGCUUUUGGAGCCUCUGAGGCAGAAGCUGUUGUAAAUGCUGUCCUGUCAUGCUUCACUAAUAAGAAAUCAAGAGAUCAAUAUGGUUCUAUGAACCUAUUAUGGUCAGAGUUCAAAAUCAGAGUUCUUGUUGUAUAUAAAGUUAUAUACAAUUUGAAAUGGCUCACAAGUGGAUAUGGAAUUGAUGAAGCUGAGCCUUUUGUAGAAUGGGGUCCAAAAGGAGGAGCCCAAGUGAGAUCCCCUGCUGCUGCACCAGCAAGGACAGUAGGAUGGCGUGACCCUGGAUACAUACACACCAGUUUUUUGGAGGAGUUGUGGCCUAACAAAGGGUAUACAUACAAGCUGGGGCAUAGGUUGUUUAACGGUACAUGUAUUUGGAGUCAAGAAUACUGAUUUAGAGCGUCUCCUUAUCCUGGUCAAAAUUCUUUGCAACGUGUAAUCAUAUUUGUAGAUAUGGGAAAGGGCGAAGCUGAUGGUUCCUUUGAAUUUGAAGAUUUUCAGCCUGCAUCUCUGAACACUACUAAGCAGCUUAUUGAAGACUUAAAUAACAUUGAUAUAGUCUUCCAUAUUGGAGAUAUAGUCUAUGCUAUGGGUUAUAUUGCACAGUGGGACCAAUUCACUGCACAGAUUAAGCCAAUUGCAUCAACUAAGCCUUACAUGAUUGGAAGUGGUAACCAUGAGCAUGACUGGCCAGGAACUGGAUCCUUCUACCAGAACAUGGAUUCUGGAGGAGUGUGGUGUGUUAGCCGAGAACAUGUUUUAUGUCCCCGCUGAGAACAAGGCUAAUUUCUGGUACUCUACUGACUAUGGCAUGUUCCGAUUCUGCGUAGCUCACACUGAACUUGAUUGGAGAGAGGGAUCAGAGCAAUACAAGUUCAUUGAGAACUGCCUCACAUCAGUUGACAGACAAAGACAACCAUGGCUAAUCUUUCUUGCACAUAGAGUACUAGGUUAUUCUUCUGUGGACUUUUAUGUGGAAGAAGGAUCGUUUGAGGAACCAAUGGGAAGGGAGGACCUCGAAAAACUUUGGCAGAAGUACAAGGUUGACAUUGCCCUCUAUGGCCAUGUGCACUAUUAUGAAAGAUCAUGCCCGGUCUACGGGGUAAAGCUGUACCAUAGUCAUUUCUUCCUACAUUUUGCACUGCAUAGAUUCGGUAUCACCACAGACAUUGCAGUUUCUUAACCAACAAUUUAAUUGUUAAAAAAAUGGUUAAAGUAAUAAAAUCCACUCUUUACUAUCAGUUAAAACUUUUUGGAUAAGUGGUAGUUUAUCUUGGUAUUAGAUUAGGUGAUCUUAAGUUUGAACCAUGCCUCCACUUUACCUCCCAUUCAAAAGUUAAAUAUUCCACGUGUUGGAUUCACUUUUUGAGGGGUAGUCUAAGCCUUAUGAGGGACAACAUAGAAUAGUAGUUAAGCAUUUAAUUAAAUUCACUCUGUUCUAUCAAUUUAAGCUUUGAGUACUAGUGGUAAUUUAUAUCUUUUUUCUUCUUGCUGCAGAAUAUCUGCACCAGUCAAGAGAAACACAACUAUGUAGGCCCCUUGAAGGGAACGAUUCAUGUGAUUGCUGGAGGAGGAGGAGCAAGCCUUCACGAAUUUGCUUCCAUCAAUACCACGUGGAGUGUAUAUAAAGACUAUGAUAACGGAUUCAUCAAACUUACCGCAUUUGAUCAUUCACACCUUUUGUUUGAAUACAAGAAGAGCAGGGAGGGAAAAGUGUACGACUCUUUCACAAUCUCUCGGGAUUAUAGGGACAUCUUGACCUGUAUUGUUGAUAGUUGUCCAGAAUUUACACUAGCACAGUAGUUUUUUUUUUUUUUUGAUACAAGCACAGUAGUAUCUUGAUACAAAUAUAAGGGAAAUUUUUGUUGAUGAGUGCUAAGUGCCAUUUUUAAAUAAAGA